AAACCAUGAUAUGGGCGGUUUCAUCAUGUUCUUGUAUCUCUCUCACGUUUCAAAAAGAGAUUCAUCGACGGUCUGCCUAAAACAGGUCAUCUAGUUUCUCAACAU
Vicia villosa (hairy vetch) is the source of this 105-nucleotide small nucleolar RNA. The record is from RefSeq and is a predicted model, not a curated record. NCBI's taxonomy places the organism in Eukaryota, Viridiplantae, Streptophyta, Magnoliopsida, Fabales, Fabaceae.